GUGAGAACUGAACUGCAUCAGACAGCAAGGAGAGCAAGAUGAAGUCACAGACCCAGAUUUUCAUAUCCCUGCUGCUUUGGAUGUCUGGUGCCUGUGCAGACAUCGUGAUGAUUCAGUCUCCAUCCUCCCUGGCUGUGUCAGCUGGAGAGAAGGUCACCAUCAGAUGCAGGUCCAGUCAGAGUCUUUUAAGCACUGGAAAUCAAAAGAACUACUUAGCCUGGUACCAGCAGAAACCAGGGCAAUCCCCUAAACUGCUUAUCUACUGGGCAUCCACUCGGUACACUGGGGUCCCUGAUCGCUUCAUAGGCAGUGGAUCUGGGACAGAUUUCACUCUCAGCAUCAGCAGUGUGCAGGCUGAAGACCUGGCAGUUUAUUACUGUAUGCAGCAUUAUGAUUAUCCUCCCACAGCAGAGGAUGGUUUAGCUGAAGGCACCAUUAAGGCUUAG
Non-coding RNA from Meriones unguiculatus (Mongolian gerbil), 446 nucleotides. The record is from the annotation of a RefSeq genome assembly. Lineage: Eukaryota; Metazoa; Chordata; Mammalia; Rodentia; Muridae.